RNAcentral lists this unclassified non-coding RNA (201 nucleotides) under plant metagenome. Its description in RNAcentral is "partial contains small subunit ribosomal RNA, internal transcribed spacer 1, and 5.8S ribosomal RNA". The record is from RNAcentral.
UCUCCGUAGGUGAACCAGCGGAGGGAUCAUUAUCGAGUUUAUAACUCCCAAACCCUAUGUGAACUUACCACUUGUUGCUUCGGCGCGCGCUUCGGCGCCGCCGAGGACACUUAAACUCUUUGUUUUUAUAAGCAUUUCUGAGUGGCCGAAAGGCAAAAUACAAAUGAAUCAAAACUUUCAACAACGGAUCUCUUGGUUCUG